CAGUCGCCGCGGGAAUACGAAGGGUGCAAGCGUUAAUCGGAAUUACUGGGCGUAAAGCGUGCGUAGGCGGGCGAUUUAGUCAGGGGUGAAAUCCCAAGGCUCAACCUUGGAACUGCCUUUGAUACUGAUCGUCUUGAGUUCGAGAGAGGUAAGUGGAACUGCGAGUGUAGAGGUGAAAUUCGUAGAUAUUCGCAAGAACACCAGUGGCGAAGGCGGCUUACUGGCUCGAUACUGACGCUGAGGCACGAAAGCGUGGGGAGCAAACAGGAUUAGAUACCCCAGUAGUCCCUGUCUCUAUACA
This 301-nucleotide ribosomal RNA is filed under the name uncultured bacterium. Its description in RNAcentral is "partial 16S ribosomal RNA". It matches the Rfam family "Bacterial small subunit ribosomal RNA", at positions 509 to 808 of the family's 1533-position model. The record is from RNAcentral.